This 497-nucleotide ribosomal RNA is filed under the name uncultured bacterium. Its description in RNAcentral is "partial 16S ribosomal RNA". It matches the Rfam family "Bacterial small subunit ribosomal RNA", at positions 28 to 507 of the family's 1533-position model. The record is from RNAcentral.
GAUGAACGCUGGCGGCGUGCCUAAUACAUGCAAGUCGAGCGAACAGACGAGGAGCUUGCUCGUCUGACGUUAGCGGCGGACGGGGGAGCAAAACGUGGAGAACCUACCUAUAAGACUGGGAUAAAUUCGGGAAACCGGAGCUAAUACCGGAUUACAUGCUGAACCGCAUGGUUCAACAGUGAAAGACGGUCUUGCUGUCACUGAUAGAUGGAUCCGCGCCGCAUUAGCUAGUUGGUAAGGUAACGGCUUACCAAGGCAACGAUGCGUAGCCGACCUGAGAGGGUGAUCGGCCACACUGGAACUGAGACACGGUCCAGACUCCUACGGGAGGCAGCAGUAGGGAAUCUUGCGCAAUGGGCGAAAGCCUGACGGAGCAACGCCGCGUGAGUGAUGAAGGUCUUCGGAUCGUAAAGCUCUGUUAGUGGGGAAGAACAAAUGUGUGAGUAACUAUGCACGCAUUGACGGUACCUGAUCAGGAAGCCACGGCUAACUACGUG